UACGUAGGGGGCGAGCGUUGUCCGGAAUUAUUGGGCGUAAAGAGCGUGUAGGCGGUUCGGUAAGUCUGCCGUGAAAACCUGGGGCUCAACCCCGGGCGUGCGGUGGAUACUGCCGGGCUAGAGGGUGGUAGAGGCGAGUGGAAUUCCCGGUGUAGCGGUGAAAUGCGCAGAUAUCAGGAAGAACACCCGUGGCGAAAGCGGCUCUCUGGAACGGUACUGACGCUGAGACGCGAAAGCGUGGGGAGCGAACAGG
Molecule: ribosomal RNA, 253 nt
Filed under: uncultured bacterium
Lineage: Bacteria
Description: partial 16S ribosomal RNA
Rfam family: Bacterial small subunit ribosomal RNA
Source: RNAcentral